RNAcentral lists this ribosomal RNA (521 nucleotides) under uncultured bacterium. Its description in RNAcentral is "bacterial SSU rRNA". It matches the Rfam family "Archaeal small subunit ribosomal RNA", at positions 345 to 866 of the family's 1478-position model. The record is from RNAcentral.
AACCUCCGCAAUGUGAGAAAUCGCGACGGGGGGAUCCCAAGUGCCAUUCUUAACGGGAUGGCUUUUCAUUAGUGUAAAGAGUUUUUAGAAGUAAGGCUGGGCAAGACCGGUGCCAGCCGCCGCGGUAACACCGGCAGCUCUAGUGGUAGCAGUUUUUAUUGGGCCUAAAGCGUCCGUAGCCGGUUUAAUAAGUCUCUGGUGAAAUCCUGUAGCUUAACUGUGGGAAUUGCUGGAGAUACUAUUAGACUUGAGACCGGGAGAGGUUAGAGGUACUCCCAGGGUAGAGGUGAAAUUCUGUAAUCCUGGGAGGACCGCCUGUUGCGAAGGCGUCUAACUGGAACGGUUCUGACGGUGAGGGACGAAAGUUAGGGGCGCGAACCGGAUUAGAUACCCGGGUAGUCCUAACUGUAAACGAUGCGGACUUGGUGUUGGGGUGGCUUUGAGCUGCUCCAGUGCCGAAGGGAAGCUGUUAAGUCCGCCGCCUGGGAAGUACGGUCGCAAGACUGAAACUUAAAGGAAUU